RNAcentral lists this ribosomal RNA (449 nucleotides) under uncultured bacterium. RNAcentral's name for it is "partial 16S ribosomal RNA". It matches the Rfam family "Bacterial small subunit ribosomal RNA", at positions 354 to 796 of the family's 1533-position model. The record is from RNAcentral.
GUGGGGAAUAUUGGACAAUGGGCGAAAGCCUGAUCCAGCCAUGCCGCGUGUGUGAAGAAGGUCUUCGGAUUGUAAAGCACUUUAAGUUGGGAGGAAGGGCAGUAAGUUAAUACCUUGCUGUUUUGACGUUACCGACAGAAUAAGCACCGGCUAACUUCGUGCCAGCAGCCGCGGUAAUACGAAGGGUGCAAGCGUUAAUCGGAAUUACUGGGCGUAAAGCGCGCGUAGGUGGUUUUGUAAGUUGGAGGUGAAAUCUCCGGGCUCAACCUGGGAACUGCCUCAAAAACUGCAUGACUAGAGUACGGUAGAGGGUGUGGAAUUUCCUGUGUAGCGGUGAAAUGCGUAGAUAUAGGAAGGAACACAAGUGGCGAAGGCGACUACCUGGACUGAUACUGACACUGAGGUGCGAAAGCGUGGGGAGCAAACAGGAUUAGAUACCCCUGUAGUCC